AUGAUUCUCAGAAGUUUUCUGAAUAUGUACUGCGAAUUAUGUGCUUCCAGCAGAGGAAAAUCAGGCAGGACUUACCCCAGGAUCAAACUUGGACUACACGGGCAGGGGGAAAUUCAACACUCGCAGAACACAGAUUCGUGUCCACGACAGUUUGUCUAUAAAACCCCCGGUAUAAAAUUUCUUAGCCUAGCUUUUGACGCUUUCAGUUUCAGUGCAGACAUGCCUAAAAGCCUCCUUCUUUUCUCAUGCCAAUGGGUAGUCAUCAUCACAUCACAUGGUCUACGGUCAUGA
This 291-nucleotide ribosomal RNA is filed under the name Triticum aestivum (bread wheat). RNAcentral describes it as "partial small subunit ribosomal RNA". The record is from RNAcentral. Lineage: Eukaryota; Viridiplantae; Streptophyta; Magnoliopsida; Poales; Poaceae.